Long non-coding RNA from Dendrobium catenatum, 3231 nucleotides. RefSeq lists it as uncharacterized. The transcript has 3 exons. The record is from RefSeq and is a predicted model, not a curated record. NCBI's taxonomy places the organism in Eukaryota, Viridiplantae, Streptophyta, Magnoliopsida, Asparagales, Orchidaceae.
GCAGAUUUACCGGAUCUGGGCGAAGAAGCACGCGAUAGAGAGAAAGUUAGCUUCACAUGAGCGAGCUCCCGUGUUGCUUUCAAUACGACAAGAAGGGAACAUCUUCAGAGGAGUGAAGUUGACCGGCAAUGAAGAAGGCAGAGAAGCUCGCGUGAGAAGGAGAAAUUUACUUCACAGCCAGCGAACUCGCAUUGUUGUUUCUGAUCAAAUGUUGUAACUUCUGACUCGACUGGAAGAGAACAUCGCCAAAGGGGCAAAGUCGAUCAACAAUGAAGGAGUCGAAGUCAAACAAUAGCAAAGGAGUGAAGAAGCUUCAGCUGUGAGGGGGAUUGUGAGUGGGGGAGAAUAGAGCAAGAGGAAAAGCCUCGUUUCUUUCGUAUUUAAGCGAGGUAGGACGAUGCAUCCAAAGCGAACGUGCGAUUGGUGGCAUUGACGUGCGAGCCUCGUGCGAAGAACGGCGGAGGACAUCCGACUCGCAAGAUUUCAGGGAUUUGCGAUUAUGCGAGUCGGCGCCAGACAGGAUUUUAGGUGGUGAUCCCUCUCCCAAGGAGUUCUUGGAGUUAUACGGCCAUCGGAUCAUUGAUGUGGAUUCGUCGAGCCCCGUCCGAUCCGAUGUCAUUUGGUAUCAGAGCCAACUAGUGCUUCUUGCUCUGUAUCCUGAGAAGUCCUCAGGUGGUGAAGAGAAGAACCUAGCGGAAGAAGCCAAGUCGGAGGCCGUUCAAGGUCCGACGGGUUCAGCUCCGACAUGAAACCGCAAGAAAGCACUAAAAUUCUUGUUUACAGGACAGAAGGAAUCGAGUCCAUGGUGUUCUGAACAAGAUACAAUUCUUGUUCUAAGAAGGUCAUAGCAUGGUGGAUGCCACUAACAUGGCUUUAAGCCAUUCUUUCCCUCUUGCAAACAGUAGUUUGUUGGAAUUAGUACAAAUAUUGAUUCGGUAAAGUAAAACAAUAUCUUGGCAUGUUGUUGGGCUGAUUCCAUCUGCCCAAACCUGGUUCCAAAUCUUCCAGCGUCUUAUUGUAUUGAGCCUCCUCGGUGAAGCCAGCGAGCUCCGUGCUAAUUUGUCACCGAUCGAUCCCGAAACGGUAAACGGGAAGAAGAAGCUGAAGCGAAAUACGUAAGAGGGGUAGUCAAAGGAGUCGAUACGUGUUUGAAUCAAAUAAUUCAUCCCUACAUCUCUUUUAUCGAGGGCUGAUCUGCCUUCAUUCCAACUGUUUCUCACAAGUGCACCUUCAACCCAUCCUUCGCCGACCGUCCUAGGCGGAGCAUCUUUAGACACAGCAAGAUUUCAUCGAGUUCUCUGUUUCCUAUAGCAGUCACAAGAAUUUCAGCCACUGGAUUCUUGGUGUUGUCUUCUUCAGACGAUCGCCUCCUUUUCGCAGAUAAUUGCAGUCGUUUUCCUGUCAAAUAAUCAACUACCCAGCCAUCUGCAGCCUCCAUUUUUUUUUUUGUUCCUCCCAUGCUGUUGUUUCAACCAAAAUAUAUCUUUAUAUUGUUAUAUUUAUAGUGCUCGUCCCUUCCACUCAUGUAGAAAGCUGCACUCAUGUAGAAAGCUGCAACCACUUGUUUUUCCUCCUCCCCAGCCCACGUAUGAUGCUAUUCCAAGCACCAAGAACAGCAUAGUUCCUGAUUCUUUGUCAAGAAAUUAGUAGCUAAAAGAGCAAGAUGUGGCCUUGUUGGACUCGACAGCGACCACUUCAACGAGCAGUGAUUGAAGACCUUCAACGAGAAAUUUCCCAACUCCAACAGCAACUGUCAAGGCUCGAACGAAAAAAACACUUGAGCCCAUUUGCCCGUGACAUUGCUGUCCGACCACCGAGGAUAUAUGCUCACAAGGCGGCAUAUAGAUCCUCCAUUCAGGCCGAAUCCCUACGAACCAAUGACAGAGAUGAUAUCUUGGAAGAUCAGAGUCCUUCCUAUGAAGACAUUUUUGAAGGGUCGCCCUGUAAGUCUUCCUCAUCCUCGAUCGAGUCCAUCUUCGAUGGGUUUAAGGAUUUGUUGCCGAAAUCGGCAUCAUUACCUAUCUAUGAUGAGCCCUUGUAUGACGUGUAUGAUGAUGACAUGUUCGGUAAAGUUCUUGAUUUUGAUAAGCCAAUAUAUGAUGAUGAUCAGAGCGAGCCGGAUGUCCAGUAGGAACUAUUCACUCCUAGUGUUCACAAUAAGGCAAUAAACUUGAUCGUCAUCACUAGUAAAAAAUUUACAAUUCAAUAUCUCUCAAAUGGGUUGGAUAUUGAAGCUUCCACGUACUUCUCUAGGAUGCUGAAAGAAACACAAAUGAUUUCAAAUAAUCUCACAAUCACAAAUGAUCCAUCCACUUGGGCUAAACUUGAGAUAUCGAAGGUUGGUAGACAAAUGGACAUUGGGUGGACCUAUCCUGUCCGAUUUAGCCAACCAAAUCCACCUCCUUAUGGUGGCCAACCAAACAUAUUCCUAUGAGCCUGAAGUUCCUCCUACCCCGGUAGUAUGAUGCCAGAGCUGAGCUGAUCAAUCCUGAUUAACUUCAGGAUUUCAGGUGGUGAUCACUCUCCCAAGGAGUUCUUGGAGUUAUACAGCCACCGGAUCAUCGACGAGGAUUCAUCGAACCCCCUCCGGUCCGGUGCCAAUAAGCCAAAUCUGUCCAUAUCCAUCAUGUUUAGACGCAUGAUAUAUGUCUAUUGAUUCCAUAUUUGUUCUCUUGACGCACCUUUUCUAUCCAAAGCACUCUACAGUUGUAUCUAGAAAAGAUAUGUAAAAAAGUUCCUUCAUGUUGAGACGCACCAUAUCUGUAUAACCAAACCAUGCAUCUAGUCUGAGCAAACCAAUUCUGCUUAAAUCAUUUUCCUUAUGGCUCAAAUAGAAAAAAAUCUGUUUAAGCAUUUCCGAUUGAAUAAGUGAACCAAAUUCACAUGGCGUUUGCACGUCUCUCUUCAAGUGAGCCAUAUCCACUUGAGGAGUCCUGUGCAUGAACUGGUCACAUUUGCUAAGAUAUCCUUCACAUAUAUUGCAUUAUAGUUUAAUAAGCCACAGCUAGCAACACAAGUUUAUGGGGUAUGUAAGCAUACAAAUUUGCUUAAAUACUCGCAUCAAUUUCAACUUAAAUAUCUACUUCAUAUGGAGACAUUUAUAUUGUAUCAGGUUGUUUGAGCAUACCUUACUUAUUCAAACACCCAAAUCAUCUCCCACUUGAUUGUUUGGACCAACAAACCCGAACAUCAAUGAAUGUUGGAUGUUUGAGUGGAUUAUAUCUUCUUAAG